Homo sapiens (human) is the source of this 835-nucleotide long non-coding RNA. Lineage: Eukaryota; Metazoa; Chordata; Mammalia; Primates; Hominidae. The record is from Ensembl.
ACUCAUUGUUGAUUUCUUCUCUUAAGCCGGAGCUCGGCUUCAGGAGUACUUUUCAAAAUAUCAUGUAUUUUGCUAACUCUAUAUAACUCCAUGUGUCAUUUCAUCCAGAAAACUUGUUUCUAAUGCUUUUUUCUCUGGACUCUAAGCUGGUUGAUGCCACCAGGCCUUGGGAAAAAGCCUGCCUUCUGAUAGGAUUGCUAUUGAGUAGCAAAAAUUCUUGGAUUCUGAUAACAUCUUUCAUGCAGAAACUCAAAGCAUCUCCCAAAUUAUAAGCCCAUUCUUUUACACUGUUCUACACUCUCACACUCUAGGAACAACUCAUUUCAAUCUUGGGACAUUGACCAGAAUUCAGGGAAACUAGCAUGAUCCUUCCAGUCUGACGUUUCAUUCCAUCUACUGUCCAAAGCUGUGUCUACAAGGCAUCACCUAUGAGACAAUAAAACAAACCCUCUGAAAUCAGGAAAUUUGCCAGAAGAUGGCGAGCUGGGAAGAAAUAAAACCAGGAUUUGAGCCAGAAAAAUCACUUUGGCAGCACUGCGGGAAACAUUUGGAAUGUGGCCUCAAGCAGGACUGUUAGGAGAUUGUUGCAAUAGUCCCGCUGAAGUUGACGGUGGAGGUGUAGAUGAGAAGACUCAGCUAACGGAUGGCAGAUUUGAGCUGGUUGAUCUUUUGUUGCAACACAUCAUAGCACUUUCUUCAGAAGCAGCUUUUAUCCUAUAGGAUGAAUAUAAUGACCAACCUACACAUUGGCCACUGUCUCAAAUAUAUAGAAAUGAAUGACCAUGUACUUUUUAAUAUUCAACAGUUUUUUCUUAAUAAAUGUAAUAAAAUUGAA